GGCCAUACCAUGCUGAAUAUACCAGUUCUCGUUAGAUCACCGAAGUCAAGCAUCAUUGGGCGCGGUCACCACCUGGGAACACCGCGUGCCGUU
Non-coding RNA from Caerostris extrusa, 93 nucleotides. NCBI's taxonomy places the organism in Eukaryota, Metazoa, Arthropoda, Arachnida, Araneae, Araneidae. The record is from the annotation of a GenBank genome assembly.